Molecule: long non-coding RNA, 1284 nt
Organism: Takifugu rubripes (torafugu)
Lineage: Eukaryota; Metazoa; Chordata; Actinopteri; Tetraodontiformes; Tetraodontidae
Source: Ensembl
AUGCCUGCAGUUGUCCGCCAGUGGCCAAUCUGGCCCACGGCCUGGCCCACGUCCUGGCCCACGGCCUGGCCCACGGCCUGGCCCACGGCCUGGCCCACGGCCUGGCCCACGUCCUGGCCCACGGCCUGGCCCACGUCCUGGCCCACGGCCUGGCCCACGGCCUGGCCCAGGGCCUGGCCCGUGGGCCCACGUCCUGGCCCACGGCCCACGGCCUGGCCCAGGGCCCACGGCUUGGCCCACGGCCUGGCCCACGGCCCACGGCCCAGGGCCCACGGCUUGGCCCAGGGCCCACGGCUUGGCCCACGGCCUGGCCCAGGGCCCACGGCCUGGCCCACAACCUGGCCCAGGGCCCACGGCUUGGCCCACGGCCCACGGCCUGGCCCAGGGCCCACGGCCUGGCCCAGGGCCCACGGCUUGGCCCACGGCCCACGGCCUGGCCCACGGCCCACGGCCUGGCCCACAGCCUGGCCCACGGCCCAGGGCCCACAGCCUGGCCCACGGCCCAGGGCCCACGGCCUGGCCCACGGCCCAGCCCACGGCCUGGCCCAGGGCCCACGGCUUGGCCCACGGCCCACGGCCUGGCCCACGGCCUGGCCCACGGCCCACGGCCUGGCCCACAGCCUGGCCCACGGCCCAGGGCCCACGGCCUGGCCCACGGCCCAGCCCACGGCCUGGCCCACAGCCCACGGCCCAGGGCCCACGGCCUGGCCCACAGCCUGGCCCACGGCCCAGGGCCCACGGCCUGGCCCACGGCCCAGCCCACGGCCUGGCCCACAGCCCACGGCCCAGGGCCCACGGCCCAGCCCACGGCCUGGCCCACAGCCCACGGCCCAGGGCCCACGGCCUGGCCCACGGCCCACGGCCUGGCCCACAGCCUGGCCCACGGCCCAGGGCCCACGGCCUGGCCCACAGCCCACAGCCUGGCCCACGGCCUGGCCCACGGCCUGGCCCACGGCCCACGGCCUGGCCCACAGCCUGGCCCACAGCCUGGCCCACGGCCCAGGGCCCACGGCCUGGCCCACGGCCCACGGCCCAGGGCCCACGGCCUGGCCCACGGCCCACGGCCCACGGCCUGGCCCACGGCCCACGGCCUGGCCCACAGCCUGGCCCACGGCCCACGGCCCAGGGCCCACGGCCUGGCCCACGGCCCAGGGCCCACGGCCCAGGGCCCACGGCCCAGGGCCCACGGCCUGGCCCACUGCGUCACACUCGGAUGGAGGUGAUGAGAUGUAUCUGUAUCUGUGUGUGUAUUCAGACACAUCAAAGCAGUCUGGACAGCCUUAA